RNAcentral lists this ribosomal RNA (310 nucleotides) under uncultured bacterium. Its description in RNAcentral is "partial 16S ribosomal RNA". It matches the Rfam family "Bacterial small subunit ribosomal RNA", at positions 503 to 808 of the family's 1533-position model. The record is from RNAcentral.
AAGAGACAGCAGUAGCCGCGGGAAAACGUAGGUGGCAAGCGUUGUCCGGAUUUAUUGGGCGUAAAGCGAGCGCAGGCGGUUAGAUAAGUCUGAAGUUAAAGGCUGUGGUUUAACCAUAGUACGCUUUGGAAACUGUUUGACUUGAGUGCAAGAGGGGAGAGUGGAAUUCCAUGUGUAGCGGUGAAAUGCGUAGAUAUAUGGAGGAACACCGGUGGCGAAAGCGGCUCUCUGGUCUGUCACUGACGCUGAGGCUCGAAAGCGUGGGUAGCGAACAGGAUUAGAUACCCCUGUAGUCCCUGUCUCUUAUACA